Molecule: ribosomal RNA, 253 nt
Filed under: uncultured bacterium
Lineage: Bacteria
Description: partial 16S ribosomal RNA
Rfam family: Bacterial small subunit ribosomal RNA
Source: RNAcentral
GACGAACCGUGCGAACGUUGUUCGGAAUCACUGGGCUUAAAGGGCGCGUAGGCGGGCUGCCGCGUCCGGGGUGAAAUCCUCCCGCUCAACGGGAGAACGGCCUCGGAUACGGGCGGCCUCGAGGGGGGUAGGGGCAUCUGGAACUGUGGGUGGAGCGGUGAAAUGCGUUGAUAUCCACAGGAACUCCGGUGGCGAAGGCGAGGUGCUGGACCCCUUCUGACGCUGAGGCGCGAAAGCCAGGGGAGCGAACGGG